GAAAUGCGAUAAGUAAUGUGAAUUGCAGAAUUCAGUGAAUCAUCGAAUCUUUGAACGCACAUUGCGCCCGCCAGUAUUCUGGCGGGCAUGCCUGUUCGAGCGUCAUUUCAGCCAUCAAGCCCCCGGCUUGUGUUGGGGACCUGCGGCUGCCCGCAGGCCCUGAAAAACAGUGGCGGGCUCGCUGUCACACCGAGCGUAGUAGCAUACAUUCUCGCUCAGGGCGUGCUGCGGGUUCCGGCCGUUAAACGACCUUCAUAACCCAAGGUUGACCUCGGAUCAGGUAGGAAGACCCGCUGAACUUAAGC
This 305-nucleotide unclassified non-coding RNA is filed under the name plant metagenome. Its description in RNAcentral is "partial contains 5.8S ribosomal RNA, internal transcribed spacer 2, and large subunit ribosomal RNA". The stretch from base 1 to 105 matches the Rfam family "5.8S ribosomal RNA", at positions 50 to 154 of the family's 154-position model. The record is from RNAcentral.